CUCUAUCACUAGACUUCACAACUAUCAUGCCCUUCCUUUGUCUUCUCUCUCCCGCUCUUAGCCUAGGGCCUUAUUUGCUAUCAUUCUGCCACUUUUCCCAACGCCUCAGAUGAUGAGUUGCCAUCAAGAUUACUGUGUAUGGUAAAGAUGAAAUCUACUCCAUCUGAUAUUUUUUUUACAGUGGCAAUAAAUUAUAAUGGGCUUUUUUGGACUAACAGCAAUU
Molecule: long non-coding RNA, 223 nt
Filed under: Trifolium pratense (red clover)
Lineage: Eukaryota; Viridiplantae; Streptophyta; Magnoliopsida; Fabales; Fabaceae
Description: long non-coding RNA (TPRA_LNC003815)
Source: RNAcentral